UACAACACACGUCACUCGUCAGGUUUGAAUUGUAUUUGCGGGCCAUUUUUGUGUUGACGUUUAUCUCCGUCUGUAAGUGGACAUUUUACUGGAAAAGAUGACAACUUUUGAAUUUUAUAACGUCUUGGAAGAAUAUGUGUCGCCUGAAAAUUUUAAUUCCAUUCGAAUGAAGAGGGAGCGAAAUGAAAUGCGACGUAUGUCUGUGAACUUUAUAAUGGAUACGUAUAGCUUUUUUUACAGUGAAGUAGAAGAGUCCGGUCGUGUUAUGGGGCAGCAGUUAAAGAAGAAGGAAGCAGAAAUGUGUGCCAUGUUGAAGUAGCAGCUGGCCCUCAUGCAUGGCACUUCUAGAAUCCUCCAUCUAAACCUCUGCUCUGAUCUGCUGUGCCUUUGCCAAGUGAUCACGAGUUUAUUGCAGUGGUGCUCCCCUGGGUCUCCACCGUCUGUUAAAUCAACUCCAACUGCCUGUGAUAGAAGAAAAGUUCACAAGACGUCCUGAAAUGGAAUUGUGAUUGGACUGAGAUGGCCACAAUUAUGUAUGCUGGGGUGUGCAGAGGGGGCUGUGUGGGCUUUGGCUUUGGACCCCCAGAGAUUUAUUAUCUCCAGCAUCUUUGAAAGCUCCAAGUUUGUCUUUGUCCCCAGCCAUUUGACCAGGCAGUGUAUUUAUUACAAAGGACAAGGACCCAUCCAUUUGCUUCUUAUUUACUUUCAUAAAACCUUCAAUUUCUUUGUAACUGUAUAUUUUUGUAGAGCAAUUUGAGCUACACUUGUAAGC
This is a long non-coding RNA of Erpetoichthys calabaricus (reedfish), 772 nucleotides long. RefSeq lists it as uncharacterized. The transcript has 3 exons. NCBI's taxonomy places the organism in Eukaryota, Metazoa, Chordata, Cladistia, Polypteriformes, Polypteridae. The record is from RefSeq and is a predicted model, not a curated record.